RNAcentral lists this small RNA (1636 nucleotides) under Histoplasma capsulatum. Its description in RNAcentral is "hypothetical RNA". Lineage: Eukaryota; Fungi; Ascomycota; Eurotiomycetes; Onygenales; Ajellomycetaceae. The record is from RNAcentral. RNAcentral also lists the same sequence under 1 other name.
UCCUUUACUAUAUAACUUGCUUACAGGCUCCAGACUCAAUUGAUCCUCGCCCCAUGCUUCCUUCUGUACAUAAGGAAAGCCCUUCAGUCGACAUGUCCCCAAGGUCCAUCUAUCUGAGAAACAGUGUUAGAACUGCGACCAGAGCAAGGUAUGAAAAAGCAGAAAAUUGCCCAAAGCAGAGGAGAGGUAUUUUGCCUCCUUGAUUUCUCCCCUCACACUUGAAAUUCCUCUCCUCUACCAAGAUAUGCGUCGUUUUAGAAAUCAAGAAUGCCUUUGCUACCCGAGCAGUCCAGCCUGAAUCAUCUGUAUUAUAUUUCCCCGUCUUUUCAUCUCAAGAGUGGUAACAAGAUAUUGUGACUAUAUUUAUUGUCUGUUCUUGUAUCAUGCCCCUCCAGUUGUGAUGUCACCGAGCUGGGUGAGGGUUCGCCCAUAAGGCAAAAGAUCAGAACACAGCAAAAUUGCUCUUCCCAAUGCUACUGCUGCUCCCACUCCAGGGAACAGACGGAAAGAGCGAGGAGAGUAUACUUUUUGGCAAUCAGCGAACCUUUGAGGUUGAUAGGACGUAGUUCUUGCCUCAUUGGAUGAUUGAUCGCUGAUGGGAUAGGGUUCUUGCAGCUCUCUUCGACACAUAUACAUUUCAGCACUUUAAUCUUCGGUAGAUUUGCGGAACCAGUGGCAUGUCCGUUGGCAUGUGUUCCAGAUCUCCAAGGCUCCGGAACGGAGAGUCACUUUUUUUUUUUAACACAUUCUCCGCAGCAAGGACCCAACUAUGACCGCUCCCUGUGCAUUCGAGUAACCUCGGGCUACCGCAUCGAAAGCUUCACUAAUUAACCCGUACGCUAUGAUCCCGCAAGGCUGCUCGCUAUAUUGCGUUGCGGAGCCUGUCUCGGCAAUGCGCAUGAAGGACUCCCUUGUAAAAAAAGGCUAUUGCAAAACAAUAUGGUUCGUACUAGGAACGGACUGAUGAGAGAGAGGAGGGCUCGACUUGUUCGCUGUAUAACGAGCCGCCGUGGCUACAGGCCAUGUUGCAGAAGGUCAAGUAGCGUUUGAAGUUGCGGUUCAGGGAGAGGGGGAGUUAGGACGGGACAGGACGAAUCGUUCUGGGAUAUUUGGCAAGGGGAUUGGGGUGAGUUUCUUCAGAUCAUUGUUGUUACUAGUAACGGAAGGUUUUAAAGACAUUGGAUGAGUUUGCUGGCGCAUGGAUUGACGCUUGGAACUUGCUGCGAGCUUGCUGCGGCCUGCAGAAUCAAAACAAUGUUGGGUACGGUGCUGAUUUAUUAUUGCAUCUUCCAACGCACGUCGUGUCCUUCGGAACUCCGAACGGGACCCCCGAUGGCGCGAGAGGAGCCCUGAUGAUGAACUUACGCUCUAUGUGUAUGCUUGGGGGUUUUUCCUUUUGUAGCAGUAGUGCAACUGAACUAUUUUUAGCUGUAAGCGCUUAUGCAUUCAAGCGAGCGGGCAUGAAGGAGAAAUUUAAUUAAGCAUUUCGGUAGUUAUUAGCGCCUGUUUUGUGUCUCUUGCCGUUGCAGGCUAAUAGAGUAUAUGGCUCUGCAGUUCGUUGAUAUUGUUCGUUAUUGAGAAUGGGCUUGCUGGGAGAAGCAUCUAUAGGGUACUCUGUAGAGAUAAGAAAAUGCAC